Myotis davidii is the source of this 2092-nucleotide long non-coding RNA. RefSeq lists it as uncharacterized. The record is from RefSeq and is a predicted model, not a curated record. NCBI's taxonomy places the organism in Eukaryota, Metazoa, Chordata, Mammalia, Chiroptera, Vespertilionidae. The transcript is spliced from 3 exons.
AAGGGACCCGUUGCGCGUGGCCCGGUGUCACCCGGACUGCGCCGACCUCGCCAGCCGCCCCGCCCCCGUGUCUGCAGAGGCUAAAGAGCUCCCUGUCCUCCCAGGACCCGUCCCAGGAGGAGCCGGCGUGUGCUCAGAUCAGGGUCUCGACUGUCGGGGCGGAAAGGGUCUCUGAGUUUAAGUCCUGUAAAUCCAGCCCUGUACCCCGUCUCGUCACUUAACCUUUAGUCCCGAGGGCUUGCUCCUUUUUCUCGCUUCUCCCAAAUACAACUUCUAGAGUCUUCUGAGACCCGCACUGCAUUCGAUUCUAUCUUUGAGAGCAUUCUUAAGUUAGCGCCUUGAGGCAGUGCGGCUGGAGGUUCAGAGAGGAGGCUUGACACUUUUUUCCUCCACCUGCACCAGUUUGAAAUGGAAAACAAAGAAAUUAACCAGGGAAAGUUACUUGAGGAGAUUGAAAAGGAGCUGAAGACUUCAUGAAUUAGAUACUUAAGUGACACAGAUGAUAAAAAUCCGUUCGAGAAUUUAUAUGUGACAUCUGCAGCAGGUUCAGAUCUCUCAGCUAUAAGACAAACUGGAUACUUCGUAAAGAUUUUCAUCUGUUAUGCACAGAGAGCCAAAAUCCGUUACUGAAAUUGUCUGGGUGAGCUGCCUGCUGGGUCCAGUGAUGCACUAGUAGACAAAGAAGUUGAAAAAGAAGGCUGACUGGAUGACUGGCAGAAUGUGACACCAAUAUGGCAUCAAGAAGCCCUACUAUGAGUCCAAGGACUUUGACUAUGACUAAAUAAAAAUGACUUCUUUUUUGGUGGGGUGGGGGUGAGGGUGGUUGAAGUAAAUUUGAUAUUUACUUGGGGAAUGUGUAAUGUAUUCUCAUUCUAUAGUGAUAUAUGGUAAUUGCCUUGGUAAUUAAUCUUUAAAGUUCAUAUAUAUAUAUCGAAGUUAUAUAGUUAUACUUUUUAUUAUUGGGUUCUCUUACCACAAAGUAAAUACUGUAAAGACAAACAUUUGCUUAACUUAAAAAUGUUAACCUAAAAAGAUUGAUUUAAGGACUAUGAUUUUCACAUAGAAAUUUUCACUUAGGGCAUUUUAUUUAUAAAAAGUUACUGUACCCUGAACUUUCUAGGAAAACAUCCUUUUCUGUAGUUUCUUGAAAGUCAGUAGGAAAUCAUACUGUACAGUAUUAAUAUAGAACAGUUAAUAAAUUAACAACCAUUAAAAAUAACUAAUAACUUCAGAUCUAUUAACUAAAUUUACUUAAAAUAAUUUAAGGAGUGGGUGUGAACUGGAAAUAAACCUAUGUAUUUAUUAAAUUAUUGAAUCACAAGAAAACUAGAACAUCAAAGUAUUCUCUAAACCAAAUCAGUGUUUUAUUUGGUUAGAGUCCCUGCUUUUGGCAUCCAUCUAUUUAGAUCACUUAUAGAGGCUUUGAAAGCAGUUCUGGGAAAUGAGGUGGGUAGAUUUUCUCAAAGUUGAUUCCCAUUUAUUUUCUCAGUGAAUCUUGAACAUUUUUUUCUUCUUAGUAUUCAAGAAAAACUCUGUCAGUCCAGGAUAUAAAACAUAGGUUACAUUAUAUAUAGUUCAUACAGUUUAUUUACAAACAGAAUAAGAUUCCCUCUUGACUUACCUUGAAAUCUUUAUUCAAGGCCUGCACCAUUCAAUUUGUCAGCGUGCUGCUGCCACUACCGCUCGCUUUUGGUCAGAAUGCAGUGAAGCUAACAGCCAUUCUGCUGGGAAAAGAGUUCCCGGUUGCUGAAGAGUGGAAGUCACACACAUCUCAUUUACAAGUCAGAUCAGAGAUCAGAAUCAUACAAUAGCUUUAUGUGGAAUUGAUUUCAUUUCAUGGUUUUUAAGCUGUGUUUUUCAUUGAAGCAAUGUCUAUAACUAAAAGACAGGUGUGUUGUAGCAUUUGAAUGCCUUAAAUUCUUUUGAAUCUGGAAUAAAGGGAUGUUUAGGUCCUAAAACUCAGGGAUUUUUGAAAUGAAAUGCUCUGUCAUUCAUUGAUUGUGCCAUAAUUGAACUGCCCUGCAGUUUUUAUUUGGGAUUGUAAUUAAUAUUUGGAAAACUUUACCAUUUUCAAAUAUGUUAUUUUAGGAAA